AUUUAUAUAGUUUAAAUAAAACAUUACAUUUUCAUUGUAAAAUUAAAAUAAUUUUUUUUAUAAAUU
RNAcentral lists this transfer RNA (66 nucleotides) under Sarcophaga anchoriformis. Its description in RNAcentral is "tRNA-Glu". Lineage: Eukaryota; Metazoa; Arthropoda; Insecta; Diptera; Sarcophagidae. The record is from RNAcentral.